Molecule: ribosomal RNA, 372 nt
Filed under: uncultured organism
Description: partial 16S ribosomal RNA
Rfam family: Bacterial small subunit ribosomal RNA
Source: RNAcentral
GUAGGUGGCAAGCGUUGUCCGGAAUUAUUGGGCGUAAAGCGCGCGCAGGCGGUUCUUUAAGUCUGAUGUGAAAGCCCACGGCUCAACCGUGGAGGGUCAUUGGAAAUUGGAGAACUUGAGUACAGAAGAGGAAAGCGGAAUUCCACGUGUAGCGGUGAAAUGCGUAGAGAUGUGGAGGAACACCAGUGGCGAAGGCGGCUUUCUGGUCCGUAACUGACGCUGAGGCGCGAAAGCGUGGGGAGCAAACAGGGAUUAGAUACCCUGGUAGUCCACGCCGUAAACGAUGAGUGCUAAGUGUUAGGGGGUUUCCCGCCCCUUAGUGCUGCAGCUAACGCAUUAAGCACUCCGCCUGGGGAUACGGCCGCAAGGCUG